This is a long non-coding RNA of Physella acuta, 1125 nucleotides long. RefSeq lists it as uncharacterized. The record is from RefSeq and is a predicted model, not a curated record. Lineage: Eukaryota; Metazoa; Mollusca; Gastropoda; Physidae.
CUUUCAGUACGUGCCCAAGCUGACUGGUGCCCUUAUGGAGGAGAUAGAGAGAAUUCUGGGUAACAAGCCCCACCCCCGGGACUACGGCAGUGUGUCUAGACCAGCCUCGCCCAGCAUCCGACCAAAGUCAAAGUCAAGGAAAUCCUCAAGGGGAAGAAGAAGGAUCGUGUUUUAAAGCUACAUGUGAUACAGUCAGCUUAGCUGGGGUCAGUCUGGCAACGCUUGUCACAUUGGUCAGCAAGAUGACUUGAUAGGAUUCAAACUAAACUAGACUAAAUUGACCUAUAUCAAUUUGACCUAUAUGAAAUCGAGCUACAUCAAAUUGACCUACAUCUAAUUGACCUAUAUCAAUUUACCUACAUCAAAUUGACCUACAUCAAAUUGACCUACAUCUGGUUGACCCGUAUUAAUUACACUUUUUUCUCAACUUGAGCUUUUUUAAUUGCACCAUAUAGCUUAGAGGCUGUCACUGUCUACGUCAAAUAUUCGACUGGAUCUAACAUAACACUUCUUAUGGGAAUUACUUCCACACCUUAUAGACCUACUACCACACCUUAUACUUGCAGAGGAAACACAAAAUGUAGACCUAUUAAUAAGUUGAGAUCCAACAACGAACAAAACAAAAAAAUUACUUACCACAGCGUCAAUCUCCAAUCAACUAGGCCUAACAUUAACUGCUGUAGAAAGGUUCUCACUUGAAAUCUGUUUCCGUCCUUGGCGAUACGCAAUAUCAGACAUGACACUGACAUUCGACUGACAUCAAAGACACAUUAUCUUGUUAACGUUGAUACCACCCAGAUUCUGAUGGUCUCAUCUGAGCAAAUUGGCCUGGGUUUCUUCUAGGACUGAACCCCCACAGGGUUGGGUUGUUGGUUGUCUAGUACAGUCCACACAGGGCUGUUGGCUGUCUAGUGCUAUCCACAUAGGACCCUAAACCACGGAGAAAGACUGUUACAUCAAGACCUGACCGAAGCUUAUAACAGUCCACACGAUCAGCUGAUCUUCAAUGUUCAUUGUUUUGUUAUUUGUUGAUUAUCAUUGUACUAUUUAUUUUAUUUUUAUUAGUCAUCUGCAAUUUUUAUUACUAUGAAUUAAAAUUAAAGACACAUUUUUAAAUAUAUUAUC